Molecule: transfer RNA, 74 nt
Filed under: Vicugna pacos (alpaca)
Lineage: Eukaryota; Metazoa; Chordata; Mammalia; Artiodactyla; Camelidae
Description: tRNA-Ala (AGC) (tRNA-Ala-AGC-607-1)
Rfam family: tRNA
About the family: Transfer RNA (tRNA) molecules are approximately 80 nucleotides in length. Their secondary structure includes four short double-helical elements and three loops (D, anti-codon, and T loops).
Source: RNAcentral
GGAGGAUAUAGCUCAGUGGUAAGAGCGUGUGCUUAGCAUGCACGAGGUCCUGGGUUCAAUCCCCAGUACCUCCA